RNAcentral lists this long non-coding RNA (374 nucleotides) under Scleropages formosus (Asian bonytongue). RNAcentral describes it as "lncRNA (ENSSFOG00015030598.1)". Lineage: Eukaryota; Metazoa; Chordata; Actinopteri; Osteoglossiformes; Osteoglossidae. The record is from RNAcentral.
CACAGAGAGGAAGCUGCUCCAGACAACAUGUGAGGAUACUUACAGACAGGAAUCUUCAGUUUCAAUAACAUCCAGAAGGAAGAAAUGGUCACAGAAAGAGAAAAAUCUGAGAUGAAGGUGCCCUUUAAGACUGCUGCUGUGGAGAAAACUGUUGGAGUUCUCAUCGACAGGACAGCAACACCAAAUCAAUGGGUUAGCAGCAGCCGAUGUGUGGCGUUAUCCGCAAGAUGCAGCCGGGAGUCACAGAUAAUGCCCCCCACUUAUCUCCACAAUUUCAGCAAAUGGUUUCAUCAUUUCUUCCCCCGCUGUCGGCGCCUCUGUUCUGACCCUGUCGCUGUGACGGAGGAAUAGCCAAGUUACAUAAAAUCAUCCCU